CGGAGGUGAUGAACAAAGAAACUAUAACGUGCUCAAGGUCGUACAGAAACCUGUGGCAGAAGGCAGAGAAAGCACUAUUACUACAUGUGAUACUGAAACGAGUGAGGCAGUAGAUGAAAGGCACAGGUAUGUGGGAAAAAAUUGUCUUACAUACAGUGGCAUCUGCUUUUACCAUCCACUUGAGUAAUGAAAACAUAACAGACGGGAAGAAACAUCUGCCAACUGAGAAUUGUCAAACAGAGCCGUGAGUCCCAGAGUGGCAGAAGUCUGACCAAGCGCUUCUGUGGCUGCCAGUGAGAAAUGCGGUGUAUAGUGGAGAAGUACACGUUUCUUAUUAAAGAAAAGUUGGAGUUGUAUGAAACUUUUAGAUAGUCAUGUUUGUUGCUGGAACUGUCAACAUGUUUGGGCUACUUAAGACCACUGGAUUUUUCUGCUGUAUACUUAUAGUUUAACUGCUUUUAGUUAUUUUGGUUUGCUUCAAUUCAGCUGGCUGGUCAGGUUGUAUUUACAAUCAGUGGUGUUUGAAAGAUGAUUUAAUUUAAUAGAACGAUCUCAGUUUUACUAGAACUGUUCUCUUUUGACUUGGUUUCACUAUACCAUUUUCCAAAGAUCCAAAACAAAAAAUCUUCUUGCCUAUUUUGUCAAAUUUAAUCUAUUAAUGUUUUUACACAUUUCUGUUCUGGAGGGUGUUCUUACAUUACUUAGUAGUGAAAGGAUAAGAAGAAAGUUUGAGACAACUAACAUUACUGAUUAUAAAAUAUGUAAGUAUUUUAUUAUUAAAGUAAUGUGCUUAGCCAUGCCCAAAGCUUUGUUCUUAAAAAAAAAAAAAAAAAAAGAAAGAAAAAAAAGAGGCCUUUUGCCAGUAAAAUAAAAUUCCUAGAGAGCACAGAUGAUACUUGUUGGUAGAAGUGAACAAGUCUGCUCAUGCAGAGGGAGGAGAGGGCAGAGGAUUGAGAUGGAUUAAGGAUGUUUUUCUGGUCACAUGUGUUAACAGUUCUUCUGUGCUCCAUCUUCCUGAUAUUCCUUUUAAAGCGGACCUGUCCAGCAUGUUUUGGAUUAAUUUACUUGUGCUCUGUUUAAGAGAAAUGCAUUCAGGAUGUAAAACAUGUAUCUGGAGGGAAAAAAUAAAUAAAUAAAAAAACUAAAAAAAUGAGAAAAACCACCCACAUAUUAGUUUACCAGUCUUGUCAGUGAUGUAGAUUAUUAUUCAUAAGGUCUGUGGUUAACUACUAGCCUGUUGGUCUUAAAAACUGAGGUUUCACAGGUUUGAUUUGCUGUUCCUGUUGCUGUGUUAUAGUUUUGUUCUUGGAGGGUCUUUAAAGUAAGAAUUAAUUUUCAGUAGCAUCUACAUCCUUCUAUAACAAUUCAGUUAGGUGUAUUCCAAGGCACACAUGUAGAACAACAUUAAUUAAAUCAGCUAAGGGUAUGACCCACAGUGUUUAUUUGGUAACGGACGUAAACAUAGCCAAAACUUUAGGUCCUGGUAUAGACCUGAAGAGACUUCUUCAGAUCCUUGCAUUAAUGUAGGAUUUCUUUGUGAUGAAUCUGAUGAUGUAUUUCUAGAUGAAAAGAAGCAGGUGUUAUUUUCCUUCCUAAGCCCAAUGGAGACUAAGUAGCAAUUUUUUUCUCAGUAAUGAAAUACAUUUAUCAAGAUCUUUGUUUUCCAAAAGAGAAUCCAGGCAGAAUAUUUAUUGAGAUUCCCUGUAGCAGUGACUAUUGAGAAACCUUAUCCACUUAAUCCACUAGGGUACAAUAGCAAGCUUCCGUUCCCAGUGUGGGAAUAUACUGCACAUAUGCUCUGUGUUCUCUGACAGUGAGCCUUCUACUCUCAAUGCCUGCUAUGUUUCCAGGAUAUAUGCAGUAAGUUAAAUUCGUUACUAGAACAAGCUGUGAUUUUUUUCAUCCAGUGUCAUCCUCCCCUACAAGUGUGGACAAUUAUUAGUAGUUAGCUGCUGGAUAUUAACAUAGAGCACUAAAGCUAGGCCUCAGAGGACUCAAUUCUAAUGCUUGAAUGAACAUGUUCUUUGCUAGUGUGAGAAUGUUUCACUGAUGAGUGAUGGUCAAGUGUACAGUUGAUGAUCAAACUGACUUAGUGUUUAGUAGCUCAUUUCCAAGUAAAAUGGACAAGGCCUCCAAAUUUUACAGCUAAUAUUUAAAAUAAACAAACAAAUCUCUCCUUCCCUUUCCACAGAAAUCCUAAUCGGGAAAUUUUUGCAACUUUUGAUAACGAGUGGUGUAGAUUUUUGUUUUUUGCUUCAAAAAUAACAGAUAGACUGUGCCAUUGCAAGACUCAUUGCCACAUCUGGAGGCAAGUUGAUUCUCACAAGCUUUUAAGAGAGUUAUUAGCAAAAUAAAGGAUAAUAGCCUAAGUGCUAUUUCUAACAAAUUAACCUUUUACUUUGUACUGUGCAAUGGCCAAAUAUUAAUCAACAAGAAAAUAUGAACAAGUUAUCAACAUCUCUAUUAUUGUUUGUUUGUUUUUCAGUCAUAUCCUAGCCAUUCAAUAUGCACUGCACUGCAGCUGAAAAUGUUCAUUUUUGGGAGGAGCUGGGUUGGAGUCAAAUGAUACAUUAAGGGAUGUAUCCUUAAUUUUCCCAAAAGGGAA
Long non-coding RNA from Coturnix japonica (Japanese quail), 2605 nucleotides. RefSeq lists it as uncharacterized. The record is from RefSeq and is a predicted model, not a curated record. Lineage: Eukaryota; Metazoa; Chordata; Aves; Galliformes; Phasianidae.